GUUCACUCCAGCAGAAGAGCUCCGAUUCAGCAGAACCCAGCUGUGGUUCCAUGAAGAGUGACUGGUCUAUGGAUCAUCCACUUGUAUUCAAGGGUGAAGACACACGGCCGAAUCUCAGGCGAAUCCUGCAAUCCAGAUCAGAUGAAAUAGAACCCAUCUGUAAAAAAAUGAAAUAUGAUGAGUCUAUGAAUCAACAACUAGACUUUAAUGAAAGCAUGGGUCCUGAUGACAGACUCCUGUAAU
Carassius auratus (goldfish) is the source of this 243-nucleotide long non-coding RNA. RefSeq lists it as uncharacterized. The record is from RefSeq and is a predicted model, not a curated record. The transcript has 3 exons. Lineage: Eukaryota; Metazoa; Chordata; Actinopteri; Cypriniformes; Cyprinidae.